GUCCACGCCCUAAACGAUGGGUACUAAGUGUCGGCGGGUUACCGCCGGUGCCGCACCUAACGGAGUAAGUACCCCGCCUGGGGAGUACGGCCGCAAGGUUGAAACUCAAAGGAAUUGACGGGGGCCCGGCCACAAGCGGUGGUGCAUGUGGUUUAAUUUCGACGCAACGCGAAAACCUUAACCCAGGCUUGACAUGCUAGUGGUAAGAACCGGAAACGGGGAUGACCCUGAAAGGGGAGCUAGCACAGGUGCUGCAUGGCUGUCGU
This 266-nucleotide ribosomal RNA is filed under the name uncultured bacterium. RNAcentral's name for it is "partial 16S ribosomal RNA". It matches the Rfam family "Bacterial small subunit ribosomal RNA", at positions 793 to 1055 of the family's 1533-position model. The record is from RNAcentral.